Molecule: ribosomal RNA, 253 nt
Filed under: uncultured bacterium
Lineage: Bacteria
Description: partial 16S ribosomal RNA
Rfam family: Bacterial small subunit ribosomal RNA
Source: RNAcentral
UACGUAGGGUCCGAGCGUUGUCCGGAAUUAUUGGGCGUAAAGGGCUCGUAGGCGGUCUGUUGCGUCGGGAGUGAAAACUUACAGCUUAACUGUGAGCGUGCUUCCGAUACGGGCAGACUUGAGGUAUUCAGGGGAGAACGGAGUUCCUGGUGUAGCGGUGAAAUGCGCAGAUAUCAGGAGGAACACCGGUGGCGAAGGCGGGUCUCUGGGCCGAUACUGACGCUGAGGAGCGAAAGCGUGGGGAGCGAACAGG